Non-coding RNA from Arachis ipaensis, 283 nucleotides. The record is from RefSeq and is a predicted model, not a curated record. Lineage: Eukaryota; Viridiplantae; Streptophyta; Magnoliopsida; Fabales; Fabaceae.
CGUCAACACCUUCCUUUCCUUUCUUCUUUCCUUCCUUUCCUUUCCUUUAAUUUCCUUCCUCUGUGAUAAGUCUCUCUUUUAAGGCCAUUUGCGAGGAUUCAUCACGAGUGGAGAAGUCGAUUCCGCCGUUUGCACAGCAAGAUCAACAGCAAUUUAUGUUCCGCUGCUCUGCCGCCGUUGACGUUCCUCCAUUUCUCUGCUUGGUGCCUUUGCCGCUGUCCCUCACUCUUCCAAAGGGUUUCAAAAAAUGGAAUGAAGGAUUCUGUAAAUUAUCAGAUCAUUU